This 468-nucleotide ribosomal RNA is filed under the name uncultured bacterium. RNAcentral describes it as "partial 16S ribosomal RNA". It matches the Rfam family "Bacterial small subunit ribosomal RNA", at positions 28 to 507 of the family's 1533-position model. The record is from RNAcentral.
GACGAACGCUGGCGACGUGCUUAACACAUGCAAGUCGAACGGAAAGGCCCUGCUUUUGCGGGGUGCUCGAGUGGCGAACGGGUGAGUAACACGUGAGUAACCUGCCCUUGACUUUGGGAUAACUUCAGGAAACUGGGGCUAAUACCGGAUAGGAGCUCCUGCUGCAUGGUGGGGGUUGGAAAGUUUCGGCGGUUGGGUCUGGACUCGCGGCUUAUGAGCUUGAUGGUGGGGUAGUGGCUUACCACGGCUUCGACGGGUAGCCGGCCUGGGAGGGGGACCGGGCACAUUGGGCCUGAGGGAGGACCCGGAGGGCUACGGUCGGCAGCGGUGGGAAAUAUUGCGCAAUGGGCCGAAGCCGGAGGCAGCAACGUCGCGUGCGGAAUGACGUCUUUCUAGUUAGAAACCGCUUUCGCCUGUGACGAAGCGUGAGUGACGGUAAUGAGUAAAGAAGCACCGGCUAACUACGUG